UGGGGAAUUUUGGACAAUGGGGGCAACCCUGAUCCAGCCAUCCCGCGUGUGCGAUGAAGGACUUCGGGUUGUAAAGCACUUUUGACAGGGAAGAAACAGCCUGGGCUAAUAACCCGGGCGACUGACGGCACCUGCAGAAUAAGCACCGGCUAACUACGUGCCAGCAGCCGCGGUAAUACGUAGGGUGCAAGCGUUAAAAGGAAUUACUGGGCGUAAAGCUUGCGCAGGCGGUUCGGAAAUAAAGGUGUGAAAUCCCAGGGCUUAACCUAGGAACUGCACUUUUAACUACCGGGCUAGAGUACGUCAGAGGGGGGUAGAAUUCCACGUGUAGCAGUGAAAUGCGUAGAGAUGUGGAGGAAUACCGAUGCCGAAGGCAGCCCCCUGGGAUGAUACU
This 394-nucleotide ribosomal RNA is filed under the name uncultured bacterium. RNAcentral's name for it is "bacterial SSU rRNA". It matches the Rfam family "Bacterial small subunit ribosomal RNA", at positions 355 to 741 of the family's 1533-position model. The record is from RNAcentral.